AUGCUGGAGGUAUCAGAAGUGCGAAUGCUGACAUAAGUAACGAUAAAGCGGGUGAAAAGCCCGCUCGCCGGAAGACCAAGGGUUCCUGUCCAACGUUAAUCGGGGCAGGGUGAGUCGACCCCUAAGGCGAGGCCGAAAGGCGUAGUCGAUGGGAAACAGGUUAAUAUUCCUGUACUUGGUGUUACUGCGAAGGGGGGACGGAGAAGGCUAUGUUGGCCGGGCGACGGUUGUCCCGGUUUAAGCGUGUAGGCUGGUUUUCCAGGCAAAUCCGGAAAAUCAAGGCUGAGGCGUGAUGACGAGGCACUACGGUGCUGAAGCAACAAAUGCCCUGCUUCCAGGAAAAGCCUCUAAGCAUCAGGUAACAUCAAAUCGUACCCCAAACCGACACAGGUGGUCAGGUAGAGAAUACCAAGGCGCUUGAGAGAACUCGGGUGAAGGAACUAGGCAAAAUGGUGCCGUAACUUCGGGAGAAGGCACGCUGAUAUGUAGGUGAAGUCCCUCGCGGAUGGAGCUGAAAUCAGUCGAAGAUACCAGCUGGCUGCAACUGUUUAUUAAAAACACAGCACUGUGCAAACACGAAAGUGGACGUAUACGGUGUGACGCCUGCCCGGUGCCGGAAGGUUAAUUGAUGGGGUCAGCGCAAGCGAAGCUCUUGAUCGAAGCCCCGGUAAACGGCGGCCGUAACUAUAACGGUCCUAAGGUAGCGAAAUUCCUUGUCGGGUAAGUUCCGACCUGCACGAAUGGCGUAAUGAUGGCCAGGCUGUCUCCACCCGAGACUCAGUGAAAUUGAACUCGCUGUGAAGAUGCAGUGUACCCGCGGCAAGACGGAAAGACCCCGUGAACCUUUACUAUAGCUUGACACUGAACAUUGAGCCUUGAUGUGUAGGAUAGGUGGGAGGCUUUGAAGUGUGGACGCCAGUCUGCAUGGAGCCGACCUUGAAAUACCACCCUUUAAUGUUUGAUGUUCUAACGUUGACCCGUGAUCCGGGUUGCGGACAGUGUCUGGUGGGUAGUUUGACUGGGGCGGUCUCCUCCUAAAGAGUAACGGAGGAGCACGAAGGUUGGCUAAUCCUGGUCGGACAUCAGGAGGUUAGUGCAAUGGCAUAAGCCAGCUUGACUGCGAGCGUGACGGCGCGAGCAGGUGCGAAAGCAGGUCAUAGUGAUCCGGUGGUUCUGAAUGGAAGGGCCAUCGCUCAACGGAUAAAAGGUACUCCGGGGAUAACAGGCUGAUACCGCCCAAGAGUUCAUAUCGACGGCGGUGUUUGGCACCUCGAUGUCGGCUCAUCACAUCCUGGGGCUGAAGUAGGUCCCAAGGGUAUGGCUGUUCGCCAUUUAAAGUGGUACGCGAGCUGGGUUUAGAACGUCGUGAGACAGUUCGGUCCCUAUCUGCCGUGGGCGCUGGAGAACUGAGGGGGGCUGCUCCUAGUACGAGAGGACCGGAGUGGACGCAUCACUGGUGUUCGGGUUGUCAUGCCAAUGGCACUGCCCGGUAGCUAAAUGCGGAAGAGAUAAGUGCUGAAAGCAUCUAAGCACGAAACUUGCCCCGAGAUGAGUUCUCCCUGACUCCUUGAGAGUCCUGAAGGAACGUUGAAGACGACGACGUUGAUAGGCCGGGUGUGUAAGCGCAGCGAUGCGUUGAGCUAACCGGUACUAAUGAACCGUGAGGCUUAACCUUACAACGCCGAAGCUGUU
Molecule: ribosomal RNA, 1692 nt
Filed under: Escherichia coli
Lineage: Bacteria; Pseudomonadati; Pseudomonadota; Gammaproteobacteria; Enterobacterales; Enterobacteriaceae
Description: bacterial LSU rRNA
Rfam family: Bacterial large subunit ribosomal RNA
Source: RNAcentral